Molecule: ribosomal RNA, 315 nt
Filed under: uncultured eukaryote
Lineage: Eukaryota
Description: partial 18S ribosomal RNA
Rfam family: Eukaryotic small subunit ribosomal RNA
Source: RNAcentral
CCCUUAGACGUUCUGGGCCGCACGCGCGCUACACUGACCAGUGCAACAAGCAUCCGUCCUUGGCCGACAGGCUCGGGCAAUCUUUGAACGCUGGUCGUGAUGGGGAUAGACUUUUGCAAUUUUUGGUCUUCAACGAGGAAUUCCUAGUAAACGCAAGUCAUCAACUUGCAUUGAUUACGUCCCUGCCCUUUGUACACACCGCCCGUCGCACCUACCGAUUGAAUGGUCCGGUGAAGCCUCCGGAUUGGCGCGCACCUCGGUGCCGCCGAGAAGUUGGCUAAACCUUACCAUUUAGAGGAAGGUGAAGUCGUANCA